Molecule: ribosomal RNA, 332 nt
Filed under: uncultured bacterium
Lineage: Bacteria
Description: bacterial SSU rRNA
Rfam family: Bacterial small subunit ribosomal RNA
Source: RNAcentral
GGCGUAGGCGGCUUGUUAAGUCAGAUGUGAAAUCUCCCGGCUCAACUGGGAGGGUGCAUUUGAUACUGACCGGCUAGAGUGCAGCAGAGGAAGAUGGAAUUCCCGGUGUAGUGGUGAAAUGCGUAGAUAUCGGGAGGAACACUAGUGGCGAAGGCGGUCUUCUGGGCUGUAACUGACGCUGAGGUCCGAAGGCGUGGGGAGCAAACAGGAUUAGAUACCCUGGUAGUCCACGCGGUAAACGAUGGAUACUAGGUAUGGGGAGUAUCGACCCUCUCCGUGCCGAAGCUAACGCUUUAAGUAUCCCGCCUGGGGAGUACGGUCGCAAGACUAAA